RNAcentral lists this long non-coding RNA (2424 nucleotides) under Capsicum annuum. RNAcentral's name for it is "long non-coding RNA (CANN_LNC016640)". Lineage: Eukaryota; Viridiplantae; Streptophyta; Magnoliopsida; Solanales; Solanaceae. The record is from RNAcentral.
GUCGAGUGAGGUUCCAUAGAGGUUCCGGUCCGCGGCUCUGUCGUUACAUCAAAAAUGAAAAUCACAAGUUAAAAAAUAAAUGAAAUUACAAAAUCCUAACUAUAAAGCUUCAGUUGGCUCUUGACUCGGCUUUUAUCACCCUAUUCUUCAGGCGGGCUCCUGACUUGCAAUUUAUUUCAACUUGUUUCUUGGCUUUCAUUUGCUUCACUUUGUUGCUUGACUUUUUAUUUCUUCACCCUAUUCUCCAGGCGGGCUCCUGACUUGCUAUUUCAUCACUUUGUUUCUUGACUUUUCGUUUCUUCACUCUAUUCUUUAGGCGGGCUCCUGACUUGCUAUUUCAUCACCUUGUUCUUUAGGCAGGCUCCUAAAACCCAAAAUUAAAACUAGAAUGAAAAUUAUCCCAAACAAAAAUUAUAGUAAAGUAGUAUUUCAUUUUUGAAAGCGUUGUCCCAUUUUCCAGGAGGGUCCUGAACAGAAAGUAAAGUCUCACUUUUCAGGAGGGUCCUGAACAUAAAGUGAAAUCUCAUUUUUUAGGAGGGUCCUGAACAGAAAGCAAAAUCUUAUUUUUCAGGAGGGUCCUGAACAGAAGGUAAAGUCCCAUUUUUCAGGAGGGGCCUGAACAAAAGGUAAAAUCCCAUUUUUCAGGAGGGUCCUGAACAGAAGGUAAAGUCCCAUUUUUCAGGAGGGUCCUGAACAUAAAGUAAAAUCUCAUUUUUUCAGGAGGGUCCUGAAUAGAAGGUAAAGUCCCAUUUUUCAGGAGGGUCCUGAAAGAAAGUAAAAUCCCAUUUUUUUAGGAGGGUCCUGAACAAACAGUAGGAUCCCAUUUUUCAGGAGGGUCCUGAACAGAAAGUAAAAUCCCAUUUUUCAGAAGGGUCAUGAACAGAAAGUAAAGUCCCAUUUUUCAGGAGGGUCCUGAACAGAAAGUAAAAUCCCAUGGAUGUGCAUUUCGAAUGGUAGCUGAAUUAAGUGAAGCGAAUUUGCCCCUAUUUCAACAAAGAAAAUUUGUCAGUUAAGAACUUAGUGGUGGCUUGCAGCUCUUGGCUUCUCAGGUAUCUGCCCCAGCACUCGUUCCUUUCAUCUUUGUUCCAAAUCACUGACACUUUCCCUAUCUUGCCACAUCAUUGACCCGAAUCCAGAUUGAGGGAAAUGAGUUCUGACUCGAACAAUGGGUUUCCAUUUUACCAUGUCUCUGAGGUGCAUUCUUUUCCCAAAUCUGAAUGUUUCCACGAAUCCAACAGCCUGUCAGUUGAUAGACUUUCUUUGCUUCGUGUUGAAUUCCGAUCAUAUUUAUUUCAUGUGCUGGUCCUUGGCUUUUCCUCAUAUAAUUGGAAAGACUGGUAGUAAAUUUUGAAAUCCUUUCUCGCUUGUUUUGACACAGACUUGACUUAAAUAUACGGAAAUGAUGGUGACUUUUAUUUGAUACAUGACAUAAAAAGACAAAAAGCACGAAUAUGUAAAUGAAAGAAAAGGGCAAUGUCCCAUAUUCAAAAAAGAAAACUUAUCUGAAUACGACAAACAACUCCAAUGAGUAUGACAUGCAUUUUGGAUUAAGCUGCCUGAUCUUCCUAUCCAAACUCCCCAUUUGUUGUUGAGUUCGUGCCUUUGCCGCUGAAUCGCUUCUUCAAAUCCAUUGGACUCAUACAUCACAUUCAAUUGACGACAUCUUAAAAGACUUUCGCCAACAAAUCUCUUUCUUUUUACUUUUUACUUUCCUCCUGAACUCGCCAUCGCCUUACGGUGCCCGUGAGAGUUUUCACUAAUAAUACUCUCUUAUUUUUAUUUCUCUCCACUCACCAUCGCCUUAUGGUACCUGCGAAGGUUUUCACCAAUAAGACUUUCUUAUUUUCAUUUCUCUCAACUCACCAUCACCUUAUGAUGCCCGCGGGGGUUUCACCAAUAAGACUCUCUCAUUUUGUAUUUCUUUCCUGAUUUCUUAUGCUGAGGGAGACAAGUGGUACCUCACAAUGUAUCAUCAUAUCCAUUUCAUGCUUAGGCUUAACAUUAUCAAAAAUUGAUCUGAAGGACUUUAUUUAGUUGUAACUUGGCUUUCGGAUAAGGUUAGAAAAGGAUGGCAAGAGGUUCAAACGACACUUGAAGUAGGGGUGGGACUUACAACUUUUGAAAUCGACUCAAACAACAUAUUAACUCAUGCCCCAGUUUUUGUUGGUUGGGUGACUCUAAAAUCUUUAUUUGGUUGGACCGAGCCCAAAAUAGGGCAGCCUACGUAUCUCACUCCCUAGAGAAGAGAAUCAGGUCGCACGUAGUUCCAUAAGCUGGUUCUUUGUUUUGAUUUUUUUUUUCAAACUCUUUCUUUUAUUCUUAUUUUCUUGACAUUUAUCUUUGACUCUAUUUUGAUUCCAAAAGAGGGAUAUGAAAUAAAAAAAUAAAACGAAGCUCAAACGGGUAAACAAAGGAUGAUANNNN